UGUAGGGUGGUGAAACAGGCAGACACACCUCCUUGUCUCGGUGGCGGAGAAUCUGGAAACCCAGUAAUGGUUAACCACUCCUUGAAGGUUCGAUUCCUUCCCCUACAG
RNAcentral lists this transfer RNA (108 nucleotides) under Sphingobacteriaceae bacterium. RNAcentral describes it as "tRNA-Asp". It matches the Rfam family "tRNA". Rfam says of the family: Transfer RNA (tRNA) molecules are approximately 80 nucleotides in length. Their secondary structure includes four short double-helical elements and three loops (D, anti-codon, and T loops). Lineage: Bacteria; Pseudomonadati; Bacteroidota; Sphingobacteriia; Sphingobacteriales; Sphingobacteriaceae. The record is from RNAcentral.